GUGGCCGCAAGGCCAUAACGAGGAAGCAGGUGAAAGUCCUGCGCUGUACCGGCAACUGUAACGCGGACGGGGACCGGAUGCCAUUGCGCUUUUGGCGUGAGAAGGCGGUCCCAGAAGGAUGAUGCGAAGCCAGGAGACUUACCCGAAAG
This 149-nucleotide non-coding RNA is filed under the name bovine gut metagenome. The record is from RNAcentral.